GACGAACGCUGGCGGCGUGCUUAACACAUGCAAGUCGAACGGAAAGGCCCUGCUUUUGUGGGGUGCUCGAGUGGCGAACGGGUGAGUAACACGUGAGUAACCUGCCCUUGACUUUGGGUUAACUUCAGGAAACUGGGGCUAAUACCGGAUAGGAGCUCCUGCUGCAUGGUGGGGGUUGGAAAGUUUCGGCGGUUGGGGAUGGACUCGCGGCUUAUCAGCUUGUUGGUGGGGUAGUGGCUUACCAAGGCUUUGACGGGUAGCCGGGCUGAGAGGGUGACCGGCCACAUUGGGACUGAGAUACGGCCCAGACUCCUACGGGAGGCAGCAGUGGGGAAGAUUGCACAAUGGGCGGAAGCCUGAUGCAGCAACGCAGCGUGCGGGAUGACGGCCUUCGGGUUGUAAACCGCUUUCGCCUGUGACGAAGCGUGAGUGACGGUAAUGGGUAAAGAAGCACCGGCUAACUACGUG
This 468-nucleotide ribosomal RNA is filed under the name uncultured bacterium. Its description in RNAcentral is "partial 16S ribosomal RNA". It matches the Rfam family "Bacterial small subunit ribosomal RNA", at positions 28 to 507 of the family's 1533-position model. The record is from RNAcentral.